UCUGCCAAGAGCACCGCUGGGUAGCUACGUAUGGAUUAGAUAAUCGCUGAAAGCAUCUAAGUGAGAAACUAACCUCGAGAUGAGAUUUCCCAUUCGUCAGAAGUAAGACCCCUGAGAGACGAUCAGGUAGAUAGGCUAGAAGUGGAAGUGUAGUGAUGCAUGGAGCGGACUAGUACUAAUAGGUCGAGGACUUAACCAAG
This 200-nucleotide ribosomal RNA is filed under the name Oenococcus oeni. RNAcentral describes it as "partial 23S ribosomal RNA". It matches the Rfam family "Bacterial large subunit ribosomal RNA", at positions 2725 to 2925 of the family's 2925-position model. Lineage: Bacteria; Bacillati; Bacillota; Bacilli; Lactobacillales; Lactobacillaceae. The record is from RNAcentral.